AUCCAGCUGACGAUUCUCAAAUAGGACGAAACGCGCAUCCUGGAU
This 45-nucleotide non-coding RNA is filed under the name Schistosoma mansoni. Lineage: Eukaryota; Metazoa; Platyhelminthes; Trematoda; Strigeidida; Schistosomatidae. The record is from RNAcentral.